CCCCGCUGCCCAGGAGUUGAUCAUCUUUAGUUCUCAGAAAGAGAGGUGAAGUUAUUGGUGCGUACUUUCUCAUCUGAGUAGUCUACAAACCGCAGGUUCUAGCUGAAACAACGUCUCUGAUAUUCUCAGAGACAUAAAAGGACAUGGAUAUGAAGCCUCUGAUGAUUCUCCUCCUGCUAGCAGUUGCAGCAAACUUG
Non-coding RNA from Salmo salar (Atlantic salmon), 197 nucleotides. Lineage: Eukaryota; Metazoa; Chordata; Actinopteri; Salmoniformes; Salmonidae. The record is from RefSeq and is a predicted model, not a curated record.